AGUGAGCCCUCACUAGAUGCUGGCACUGUCCUCAGGGUCUUCCACAUGUGACUCUUUCCAUGCUUCAACCAGACGAUGAAGUGACUCUUGAGAACCUGCACCCAUGUCCUGGGCUCACAGAUCCGUGAGACUUCAAGGAAUUACAGCGUCUAACAGGAGACAAAAGAGACCGGGACACGACAGCACAGGAUGUUCACAUCCUGUAUGUGGACUGGUACAUAAUUCUUAACAAGGGACAGAAGGAGAUUAAACACCAUUUACCACCACAAAUGAAUCAGAUGAGGAGAGCGAGAUUCAGUGAGCUGGACCUUAUCCCAGACUCUGUUCUACGCGUCAAAAGCUGAAAUCCAAGCUCCUCCCACUACGGCUUAUGUCCGAGAACUCAG
Long non-coding RNA from Grammomys surdaster, 386 nucleotides. RefSeq lists it as uncharacterized. The transcript has 4 exons. NCBI's taxonomy places the organism in Eukaryota, Metazoa, Chordata, Mammalia, Rodentia, Muridae. The record is from RefSeq and is a predicted model, not a curated record.